Molecule: long non-coding RNA, 1449 nt
Filed under: Nicotiana benthamiana
Lineage: Eukaryota; Viridiplantae; Streptophyta; Magnoliopsida; Solanales; Solanaceae
Description: long non-coding RNA (NBEN_LNC021334)
Source: RNAcentral
UUCCUCCGGUUCAGGAGGUUAUGGUUCCAGCUAUGUCUGACGACGAGCAGCGUCGUCUUGAGAGGUUCAGUAGGCUGUUACCUCCUACUUUCAGUGGUGCUUAGGGCAUGGGGUUCCAGUUUCUAUUGUCUCGUAUAGAGUUACUCAGUUUUUUCCCAGUUUUGGAAGACUUUUCAUCGGGAGUUGGGCAAGGCUGUUACCUCCUACCUUCAGUGGUGCUUAGGGCAAGGAUGCCCAGGGUUUUCUGGACAAGUGUAGACGAAUGCUUCGGACCGCAGGGAUCGUAGAGUCCAGUGGUGUUUCUUUUACUACAUUUCAUUUCUCGGGUGCAGCUUUCAAUUAGUGGGAGGAGUAUGAGUGGCGUAGGCCGGUGGGUGCAGCGCCCUUAUCGUGGCAGGAGUUCUCCACUCUCUUUCUUGAGAAGUGGGUACUACAGUCCUAGAGGGAGGAGCUGCGGAGACAGUUUGAGUAUAUUAGUCAGGGUGAUAUGACAAUGAUGCAGUAUGAGAUGAGGUUCUCAGGGUUGGCUUGUUAUGCUCCAUGGAUUGUCCCGACUGAUCGGGACAAGAUUAGGAGAUUUAUGGAUGGACUUGUUUAUCCCAUCCGUAUUCUGAUGUCGCGAGAGAGGGUUCUGAGUCAUACAUUUGAGGAUGUUGUUGACAUUGCUAGAGACAUUGAGUCAUAUCGCCAUUAGGAGAGAGAGGAUAGGGAGGCCAAGAGGGCUUGUGGAUCAGGUAGUUUCAGCAGUGCUCCAUCUAGGGGACAGGUUUAGCAGAGCAGAGGCCGCCCUUUUAGGCAUCAUCAGUCGGCCCGUCCCGAGAAUCGCUGGACGCCUGGAGGCCGUGGUCAUCAGGGUUUGCAGUCAGGUCAGUCUUCACUGAGUGCACUCCCAGCACAGGGCUCAUCAUAUGCUCCUUAAGCUCAGUGUUCUUCGGCGCAGGGUGGAUCGGUUGGUCAUUCUGGUGCGAGGGGUUCCGUUCAGUCCCCUUCUCUAGCUCCAGGAAAUUUCUUUGAGUGCGUGAGUUUGGUCAUAUUAAGAGGUAUUGUCCUAGCCUUCGUGGUGGUAGGUUUCAGCAGAGGGAUCAGCCCUCCUCUUCUCCAUCUGAUUCAGCACCACCCCAGUUUAGUAGGGGUGGGGUUCAGUCAUCAAAAGGCCUCCCCAGGAGGGAUGAGAGGUCGAGCGGUGGUCAGGCUCGUUUCUAUGCACUCCCAGAUUGGAGAGAUGUCGUUGCUUCACAUGCAGUGAUCACAUGUAUUAUCUCAGUUUGCCACAUAGAUGCUUCUGUUUUGUUUGAUCUCGGGUCUACAUAUUCUUAUGUGUCUUCUUACUUUGCCCAUCAUUUGGGGACUAUCGGAGGGUGUCUCGCAUUGCCUGUGCAUGUAUCUACCCCGGUGGGUGAUACUAUUAUUGUGGACCACGUGUAUCGGUCCUGUGUUGUUACUUUAAAG